Molecule: ribosomal RNA, 415 nt
Filed under: uncultured prokaryote
Description: bacterial SSU rRNA
Rfam family: Bacterial small subunit ribosomal RNA
Source: RNAcentral
GUGUCAGCCGCCGCGGUAAUACGGAGGAGGCAAGCGUUAUCCGGAAUUAUUGGGCGUAAAGCGUCCGCAGGCGGCUUAUCAAGUCUGCUGUCAAAGACUGGGGCUCAACCCUGGGAAGGCAGUGGAAACUGAGAAGCUAGAGUGCAGUAGGGGUAGAGGGAAUUCCCAGUGUAGCGGUGAAAUGCGUAGAGAUUGGGAAGAACACCGGUGGCGAAAGCGCUCUACUGGGCUGCAACUGACGCUGAGGGACGAAAGCUAGGGGAGCGAAAGGGAUUAGAUACCCCUGUAGUCCUAGCCGUAAACGAUGGGUACUAGGCGUAGCUUGUAUCGACCCGAGCUGUGCCGAAGUUAACACGUUAAGUACCCCGCCUGGGGAGUACGCACGCAAGUGUGAAACUUAAAUGAAUUGACGGGG